This 301-nucleotide ribosomal RNA is filed under the name uncultured bacterium. RNAcentral's name for it is "partial 16S ribosomal RNA". It matches the Rfam family "Bacterial small subunit ribosomal RNA", at positions 509 to 807 of the family's 1533-position model. The record is from RNAcentral.
CAGCCGCCACGGUAACACGGAGGAUCCGAGCGUUAUCCGGAAUUAUUGGGUUUAAAGGGUGCGUAGGCGGAUAGAUAAGUCAGUGGUGAAACACGGUGGCUCAACCAUCGCAGUGCCGUUGAUACUGUUUAUCUUGAAUAUGGAUGAGGUAGGCGGAAUGUGACAAGUAGCGGUGAAAUGCAUAGAUAUGUCUCAGAUCACCAAUUGCGAAGGCAGCUUACUAAGGUAUGAUUGACGCUGAUGCACGAAAGCGUGGGGAUCAAACAGGAUUAGAGACCCCUGUAGUCCCUGUCUCUUAUAC